UACAAUUGAUUGAACCACUUUGCAAAAAUUUCAAGAAUAGGAAAUAUGCAUCAUAAACAUAUCCAAAAAAUAUUAGAACUUAAAUUCAAAUUUUUGGGCUCCCUCUUCCUCCACUAGGACUAAAGUUUUACAGACAAGUCUAGCAUGCCAGACAGUGAGGUAUCAAGUGCCUUUUUACUUGAUGGUAAUAAUUUGGAGAAAGUAAAAGGGCAUACGGGCCAUUGAAAGUGGAAGGGUAGACCGAGGCCUUUGAGCAUUAGGCAUAGCCUCAAAUCCAUGGGAGUUGGUCAUCCGCCGGCAACGGCAUGCGAAGCUCUCUUGACCAUUCGGAAGGGCACAUUAAUCGUGGUGGCAACCUCCUUACCUGGAGGUUCCGAUGAAGCUUCCACUCGUCGC
This 396-nucleotide long non-coding RNA is filed under the name Elaeis guineensis (African oil palm). Its description in RNAcentral is "long non-coding RNA (EGUI_LNC003931)". The record is from RNAcentral. Lineage: Eukaryota; Viridiplantae; Streptophyta; Magnoliopsida; Arecales; Arecaceae.